This 492-nucleotide ribosomal RNA is filed under the name uncultured bacterium. RNAcentral describes it as "partial 16S ribosomal RNA". It matches the Rfam family "Bacterial small subunit ribosomal RNA", at positions 29 to 507 of the family's 1533-position model. The record is from RNAcentral.
AGUGAACGCUGGCGGUAGGCCUAACACAUGCAAGUCGAACGGCCGCACAGUAAGAUCUUGCUCUUACGGGUGGCGAGUGGCGGACGGGUGCGGAAUAGAUCAGCAACUACUUUUUCGUGGGGGACAACGUAGGGAAACUUAUGCUAAUACCGAAUACAACCUACGGGUGAAAGCAGUGGAUCUUCGGACCUUUCGCGAUUGAAUGAGCCGAUGUCGGAUUAGCUAGUUGGCGUGGUAAAGGCCCACCAAGGCGACGAUCCGUAGCUGAUCUGAGAGGAUGAUCGGCCACACUGGAACUGAGACACGGUCCAGACUCCUACGGGAGGCAGCAGUGGGGAAUAUUGGACAAUGGGCGCAAGCCUGAUCCAGCCAUACCGCGUGAGUGAUGAAGGCCUUCGGGUUGUAAAGCCCUUUUGUUGGGAAAGAAAAGCAGCAGGUUAAUACCCCGCUGUUCUGACGGUACCCAAAGAGUAAGCACCGGCUAACUUCGUG